This 21-nucleotide non-coding RNA is filed under the name Arabidopsis thaliana (thale cress). Lineage: Eukaryota; Viridiplantae; Streptophyta; Magnoliopsida; Brassicales; Brassicaceae. The record is from RNAcentral.
CACCACCGCCAACCUACUCUC